This 18-nucleotide small nuclear RNA is filed under the name Arabidopsis thaliana (thale cress). RNAcentral's name for it is "snRNA_08657". Lineage: Eukaryota; Viridiplantae; Streptophyta; Magnoliopsida; Brassicales; Brassicaceae. The record is from RNAcentral.
GGACAUUGUCAGGUGGGG